RNAcentral lists this ribosomal RNA (192 nucleotides) under uncultured Enterobacterales bacterium. Its description in RNAcentral is "partial 16S ribosomal RNA". It matches the Rfam family "Bacterial small subunit ribosomal RNA", at positions 140 to 334 of the family's 1533-position model. Lineage: Bacteria; Pseudomonadati; Pseudomonadota; Gammaproteobacteria; Enterobacterales. The record is from RNAcentral.
GGGAUAACUACUGGAAACGGUAGCUAAUACCGCAUAACGUCUCCGGACCAAAGUGGGGGACCUUCGGGCCUCACACCAUCGGAUGUGCCCAGAUGGGAUUAGCUUGUAGGUGGGGUAAUGGCUCACCUAGGCGACGAUCCCUAGCUGGUCUGAGAGGAUGACCAGCCACACUGGAACUGAGACACGGUCCAG